Molecule: ribosomal RNA, 464 nt
Filed under: uncultured bacterium
Lineage: Bacteria
Description: bacterial SSU rRNA
Rfam family: Bacterial small subunit ribosomal RNA
Source: RNAcentral
GUAAAGCACUUUCAGUGGGGAGGAAAGGUCGAAGGUUAAUACCCUUUGGCUGUGACGUUACCCACAGAAGAAGCACCGGCUAACUCCGUGCCAGCAGCCGCGGUAAUACGGAGGGUGCGAGCGUUAAUCGGAAUUACUGGGCGUAAAGCGUGCGUAGGCGGCCAUUUAAGUUGGAUGUGAAAGCCCCGGGCUCAACCUGGGAACUGCAUCCAAAACUGGGUGGCUUGAGUGCGAGAGAGGAGUGUGGAAUUUCCUGUGUAGCGGUGAAAUGCGUAGAUAUAGGAAGGAACACCAGUGGCGAAGGCGACACUCUGGCUUGACACUGACGCUGAGGUACGAAAGCGUGGGGAGCAAACAGGAUUAGAUACCCUGGUAGUCCACGCCGUAAACGAUGUCUACUAGUUGUCGGUGGUCUUGUACUGCUGGUAACGCAGCUAACGCGAUAAGUAGACCGCCUGGGGAGU